Molecule: non-coding RNA, 84 nt
Organism: Bombyx mori (domestic silkworm)
Lineage: Eukaryota; Metazoa; Arthropoda; Insecta; Lepidoptera; Bombycidae
Source: Rfam
CUAACUCAAAUUUCUAUGGAGCUGGAACGUUUGCUUACGUUUGCCACUAGAGGCGCUGUUCCAAAUCCAUACAAAUUUGAGUUA